GACGAACGCUGGCGGCGCGCCUAACACAUGCAAGUCGAACGAGCGAGCGAGAGCUUGCUUUCUCAAGCGAGUGGCGAACGGGUGAGUAACGCGUGAGGAACCUGCCUCAAAGAGGGGGACAACAGUUGGAAACGACUGCUAAUACCGCAUAAGCCCACGACCCGGCAUCGGGUAGAGGGAAAAGGAGCAAUCCGCUUUGAGAUGGCCUCGCGUCCGAUUAGCUAGUUGGUGAGGUAACGGCCCACCAAGGCAACGAUCGGUAGCCGGACUGAGAGGUUGAACGGCCACAGUGGGACUGAGACACGGCCCAGACUCCUACGGGAGGCAGCAGUGGGGAAUAUUGCACAAUGGGGGAAACCCUGAUGCAGCGACGCCGCGUGGAGGAAGAAGGUCUUCGGAUUGUAAACUCCUGUUGUGGAGGAAGAUAAUGACGGUACUCAACAAGGAAGUGACGGCUAACUACGUG
Molecule: ribosomal RNA, 466 nt
Filed under: uncultured bacterium
Lineage: Bacteria
Description: partial 16S ribosomal RNA
Rfam family: Bacterial small subunit ribosomal RNA
Source: RNAcentral